This 10302-nucleotide long non-coding RNA is filed under the name Ananas comosus (pineapple). RNAcentral's name for it is "long non-coding RNA (ACOM_LNC005130)". The record is from RNAcentral. Lineage: Eukaryota; Viridiplantae; Streptophyta; Magnoliopsida; Poales; Bromeliaceae.
CGUAAAUGCAUUCUAAACUAUCUGGGGUAUCCGUCACCCCAAUCCUGUGACGAUAUAAAAAUACAACGGCUCCUAGAGCUAAAUCAGGUAGUUUAGGCAUAUGUCGAUCAUUAUCGCGUUUUCUCCUAAGUCAUUUCCAAGUCCCACAUGUAUAAACUAUUUAAUUUACUAUUUCAUGCUCCAAAUUCAGAUUUGCAGUUUACCUAAUAAUCCAUGAAUUCGAGCUAACAUAACUAUACAAAAAUCGGACAUUUACACAUGUUGACUACUACGCACUUAGGAGUAAAACCGAUGUAAACCCACCUCAAAGCUAAUCCCUGGCAACGAAGAAGUCACCUAAAUUCAGCCGAGCCCGCUCUCAACCAGCAAUCGUAACUCUCCAAUAAUCUGAACCACAAAAGCAUUAAACAUGUAUUAAUCUUUCAAAAUCAGCACUUAAGCUAAAUCCUUCUAGUACGAUGCAAACCUCACCUUCCGAAUCUCAAUCCUGGUGAUGCGAGGUUCCAAAUCCAGGGUGGGAUGGUGAUGUACAUAGCUCAGGUCCCAAUCCCAAUUCCCUUCAUGAUUUACACCAAAAGAAUCCAAGAAAACUCAAGUUCAGGUUCAGAUUCACAGCAGUGGAGUAAAACAGAGGUUCGACCCAGCUAACCUUCUUCAAAUCCAGCAAUCUUGGGCUCUGUAGUUUCCUCUUGAAGUCCCGAAUCCAGCGAACCAAGUUUCGCCGCGAUCCGAUGCUCCUACGUCGCGUACGAGCCGAAACACUGACGGUCGACGCUGAAAAUCAGUAAAAUCAGCACGCGAGCUCAAAACCGUGCGUUCAAGUUAUCCCAGGAGGAAAGUUAGAUACCCACCUCGACAGCGAAUCUAGCGCCGGUGCGACGUCGAGGACGGCGAAAACACCCACUCGCCCGGCCUCCUCGCGAUGUAAUGGCAGCAACCAUAUCCCCGGACGGCUCCGCGGCGCGACGUCCGCAACGAAAGCUCCAUCCGAGUUCCACCUAUUCGAUCAAUGCUAGAGAAAGAGAGAAGGAGAAGAGUAGCAAAGUAGCUCUCUCUCUCUCUGCUCCUAAACGUAUAAAGCAAGGGGUGGAAUAGGUGAUACAAACAAGGCAAGAUAAAAUUACUAAAAAACCCCUCACCUACUCAAGUGUACUGGUACACGGGCCUCUGUAUUGGUACACAUGCCAACCCGAGAGCAGUCUGCGCGCAACCUACUGAAGUGUACCGGUACACCUUGAUGGCUGUACCGGUACAGCAAGCAGAAAAACUGCUAUUUUGCAGAUUUCUUCGCGGAAAGCUGCCCUCGCGUGGCACGGAGUCCGUUUUGCCUCUAUUUGGCGCCAACGCGACUCAGACUUGUGCCAACACUCUACAGAGCCGUCGACAAGCCUCCACAGCAGAACACCAAGGAUCUCACAUCCUUACCCACUACAAAAAGUUUCGUCCGCGAAACUUAAGCAUACCUCAACUCAGGUCCACAAACAAAUAAGGAUAGGCCUCCCUCAUCAUCGUCUCAGGCUCCCAAGUCGCCUCCCGCUCUUUGUGAUUGCUCCACUGCACUUUCACAUGCGGGACGACCCUGUUGCGCAAUUCUUUCAUCUCUCGAGCAAGAAUCCGCAACGGUCGCUCCUCGUAUCUCAGAUCCCCGCUAAUCUCUAGUGGAGUGAAGUCGAUUACGUGAGUGGGAUCGAAAAUGUAUCUCCUCAAUGCUGAGACGUGGAAAAUAUCGUGGAUGCCAGCAAGUCACGGGGGUAGAGCUAUCCUGUAUGCAACCGGUACAACUCGCUCUAAUACCUCGAAAGGGCCAACAAACCGUGGACUGAACUUUCCACGUACCCCAAAUCAGCGAAUCCCUCUGGACGGCGAGACUUUGAGGAAAACAUGAACUCGGGUCCAAGUGUCCUCCUCUCACCCACAUCACUCCAAAAUAGAGGGGAUCGACAUCUGCAUUCAUACAACGCUUCAAACAGAGCCAUUAGAAUGCUCGUUUGAUAGUUGUUGUCGUACGCAAACUCAACUAGUCUCAUAUGUCGAUACCACACUCUUCCAAAAUCCAGGACGCAUGCCCUCAGCAUGUCCUCUAGAGUCUGUAUGGUCCCCUCUGACUAACCAUCUGUCUGUGGGUGGAACGCCGUGCUGAAAUGCAACUAAGUGCCCAAGGCUGUCUGUAGACUCCUUCAAAACUGAGAUACAAAUCUCGGGUCUCUGUCUGACACAACCGACACUGGCACACCGUGUAGCCUGACGAUCUCAUCCAGGUAUAGCUGUGCGAGUCUCUCUCUCUCGACCAGGUAGUCUGAACCGGUAGAAAGUGAGUAGAUUUGGUCAGUCUGUCCACUAUAACCCAGAUCGCGUCACAACCACUCUAUGCUCUAGGCAACCCCACGACGAAGUCCAUCGUAAUCUACUCCCACUUCCACUCGGGCACUGGCAGACUCUGAAGCUUGCCAGCAGGUACCUGAUGCUCAGCCUUCACCUGUUGGCAAGUCAGACACUGAGCCACAUAUCUGCCAAUGUCUCUCUUCAUUCCAUGCCACCAGAACCGUGCCUUAAGAUCCUUAUAUAUCUUGGUUCCCCCAGGGUGAACCGUAUAAGGAGAACAAUGAGCUUCUCUCAGAAUGUCCGCUCGGAUCUCAGAAUCCACGGGCACACACAGCCGGUCCCUGUACCGUAGUACUCCCGAACUGUCCAAAGCAAAACCCUCAGCCUGCCCCCUGUCUAGCUGCUCUCUAAUCCUCAACAAGUACGGAUCUCCACUCUGUUUCUCUCGGAUCCUAUCCAAUAGAGUGUGCUAUAAAACUAGAGACGUCAGCCUCGCCGUAGACCCAGGGGGUACUAUUUCGAGUCCCAGCCGCUGUAGCUCCUCGAGUAGGGGUCGCUGCUCAGUGAUUGUCAAACUCAGGCUCUGCACUGACUUCCUGCUCAACGCAUCUGNCGGUCCCUGUACCGUAGUACUCCCGAACUGUCCAAAGCAAAACCCUCAGCCUGCCCCCUGUCUAGCUGCUCUCUAAUCCUCAACAAGUACGGAUCUCCACUCUGUUUCUCUCGGAUCCUAUCCAAUAGAGUGUGCUAUAAAACUAGAGACGUCAGCCUCGCCGUAGACCCAGGGGGUACUAUUUCGAGUCCCAGCCGCUGCAGCUCCUCGAGUAGGGGUCGCUGCUCAGUGAUUGUCAAACUCAGGCUCUGCACUGACUUCCUGCUCAACGCAUCUGCAACAACAUUCGCCCUGCCGGGGUGAUACUGAAUACUAAUGUCAUAGUCCUUCAGUAACUCCAACCACCGGCGCUGCCUCAGGUUCAGCUCCCUUUGUGUGAACAGAUACUUGAGACUUUUAUGAUCGGUGAAAACCUCGCAGUGCUCGCCGUACAAGUAAUGCCGCCAGAGCUUCAAAGCAAAAACCACCGCGGCCGGCUCCAAGUCAUGCGUAGGGUAAUUCUUCUCAUAAUCCUUUAACUGCCGUGAAGCAUAAGCAAUUACCCUACCAUGCUGCAUUAGCACACAGCCAAGUCCACUGUGUGAUGCAUCACUAUAGAUCACGAAUCUAUACCCCAUCACCAGAAGGGCAAGGAUAGGAGCCGACGUCAACCUCAGUCUCAACUCGUCAAAGCUCCUCUGACAGUCGUCGCUCUAGACAACACGAAUCCCCUUCCGCGUCAAGCGAGUGAGGGGUGUGGAAUGCUUCGCAAAGCCUUCCACAAACCAACGGUAAUAUCCUGCCAGUCCCAGGAAACUCCGCACCUCCGUCACCGUCGUCGGUCUAGGCCAAUCUCGAAUCGCCUCAAUCUUCUUCGGGUCCACUGCUACUUCCUCAGCUGAAAUCACGUGGCCCAAGAAAGCAACCUUCCGUAACCAGAACUCGCACUUCUUUAAUUUGGCAUACAACUCCUUCUCUCGCAGAAGCUGUAGCACAAUCCUCAAGUGCUCCUCAUGCUCAGCAUCACUCCGGGAGUAAAUCAGAAUGUCGUCGAUGAAGACUACCACAAACCUAUCCAAGAACGGCUUGAACACUCUACUCAUCAAAUCCAUGAAUGCGACAGGGGCAUUCGUCAAUCCAAAAGGCAUCACUGUAAACCCAUAAUGCCUGUACCGAGUCCGAAAAGCCGUCUUAGGAACAUUCUCGGCCCUCACUGUCACGCCCCGGAUUACACUUUCUCCGGGCGCGCCGACAAAUCCGCCCUAUACAAAGGAAUUUCCCCUGUAUACGAAGCGAUAGCUGUACCUGUAAAACAAACACUACUACGAACAGUAGUAGAGAGCUGCUAGAGAAAACAGAAGCUAACAAACUGAGUUUCAUAUACAUAGUCCAGAUCCAAAAUACAAAGCUACUCGCACUGGCGAGUUAAGUCCACUAUGUACAUAAACUCGAAACAAAACAUCUACCUGCAGUAGGGGCACCUCUAGCUCAGCACGUCGGGUAGGGCUCUAACUUGCGACGCCCUUGCCUCGAUCCUGAUCCGCGGAAGGCGCAGCAGCCGAAACCUGUGGCUCUGCAAAACAGGGGGUAACAACUGGGCGUGAGAACUACUGUAAAAACAAGUAGUCCUCAGUGGGUACUGCCCAAAAUAAUAUCGGUCCACCCACUAAGCCUACAGAAGGGAACAGGAAUAGUAGUAAAAUGCAGGAAUAAAGUCUACCGCUAUCAAACACUACACUAUCAUGCUCUACACUAACCAACUGUAGAAAAUAUCCAACCUGACCCAAUCCAAUCGGGACUGUAAGCAUACCCGUCCCCGGGACUGUGAAUACACCCGUCCCUGCCCCGUUGCGACUAUCAAGCUCUAUCCACACUAACUGGUCCGUGGAGAGCAAGUCCAACUGGCAUGAGCGACACCAACGCGAAAGCACAAAGCCCAACUCCGGAGUGGCACUCGUGGGCGCUACCCAACCGAGUAUGCAGCGUAUCUCUGUCGAACUCAAUCAGGCUACAACUAGCCAAACUCAAGUGAACAGGGUCAAAACAGGUCUACAAACCAAACCCACGUGCCCUCGGCACAAUCUGUGACCAAAACAAGAAUCUGGGUCCACCGUUAUCCCGAACGGCACCCAACGACCCGAAACAGCCUAUACUCUGCUGAAAAAUAAGCUCGGCACCCCAGCACGAGCGUAAAUGCCUUCUAAACUACCCCAGAUAUCCAUCGCACUAAUACUGCAACGAUACAAUCGAAUCACGGCUACUAGAGCUAAAUCUGGUAGUUUAAGCAUAUGACGGGUCAAAAUGCAGGUUUUCUCCUAAGUCAAAUUUCAAGUCCAACAUGUAUAAUUUAAAUAUUCAUUUCAGCAUGCUUCUACAUUCAUAUUACAUUCAAGAUGCUAAUCGAUGAAUUAAAGCAUGAUAUACAAAAAUCGAACUAUACACGUCGACUAAACAUGCACUUAGGAGCGAAACCGAUGAUACACCCAUCUCGAGAGCAAAUUCCUGGCAGCACGGAACUCCCUCGGCUGCGGCACAACCUGCUGGAUCGACUGGAAAUGUCCGAGUCUCAAAAUUAAGCUAUCUCCAAGCUAUCAACAUCAAAAUCCACAAUUCAGUCCAAAUACACAGCAGCAGAGAAGAGAAGGGUUUCGACCAAGCUAACCUUCACCAAAAUCCACAAGUAAGGACUUCGUGGAUUUCUCUCGCAGUCCCGAAACCAACGAAUCAAGUCUUGUCGAAAUCCGAUGAUCCUACGUCGAGUACGAGCUGAAAUACUAACAGUCGACGAUGAAGUUCAGCAAAACAACACUUAAGCUUAAAUAUCCCAAUUCCAAUGUCAAAACUCACCUAAUGAACUCCAAAUCAGGUGAAGAGGGUCCCAAUUCCAGUACUGGGUGAUAGGGAAGGUGACUCAACUCCACAAAGCCCCUGCUUCCAAAGUUCACCCCAAAAAGAACACAAAAACUUACAAUUCUGUCCACAGCAACAACAGCAGAGGAAAACCUGAGUUCGACUAAGCUAACCUCAACUAAAAUCUGCAAUUUAGGGCUUCGUGGAUUCCUCUGGAAGUCAAGAAUCCAGAAAACCAAGUUUCGUCAAAAUCCGACCUUCCUACGUCGCGCACGAGCCAAAACACUGGAGGUCGUCGCUGAAGAACUGCAGAAUCAGCACUCCAUUAAGCUGGAUCAUGGAAGUUUGAUGCAAUUUGAGGCAAAUCCGAGGGUAGAGAUGCUAAAAGAGGCUUCUCUGUGAAGAAGGGAGGAAAAGAGCUCCCCAGGGACACUUCUCAGCUAUUUAUAGGGUGAAAAUAGGAUCAGAUGGACCUCAAGAACAAAGCUUGCAAUCUGCUGUCCCCGCAGAAACAGGCGUUUCUGGGCGCCCGGAACCAUGUUCUGGGCGACCAGAACAUCCCGACUGCACAAACCGGGCUCCUCGGACUCUCCGCUCGCGGUGUGCUGCGCCCGUAAAUGGCUCCGGCGGAACUCACCUACCGCCCUGCCACGCGUCGAAGCAAGCGAUAUUCACGAUGUCGAAUUUCCGGACCCACAUCUGGGCGCCCGGAACAUGGGAUCCGAAUUGGCUUCCAGUUUUAGUUAAAUUCAACACUCGUUUCUGGGCGACCCUAACAAUGUUCUGGGCGCCCGAAUCUGGCAAAACUCCAGUUUUGCUUAUUUGAGUGCGCCGAGUCCAAUUCUGCAUCCAAUUCGUGCAGAAUUGCCUCCGACUCAGUCCGACACUCUCCAGAGAUGUCGACCAGUCUAUAAUACUGAAGCCAAUCCUAUCCAAAGCUCAGGAACACUACACUCACCUUUAGCUGGUGGUAACCUGACUGGAGAUUAAUCUUUGAAAAGACACAAGAUCCUUGCAGCUGAUCAAACAGAUCAUCAAUGCGCGGCAAGGGAUACUUAUUCUUGAUGGUCACUUUAUUCAGCUCCCUAUAAUCCACACACAGUCUAAGUGACCCAUCCUUCUUCUUCACAAACAACACUGGCGCUCCCCAAGGCGACACACUGGAUCUCACAAACCCUCUACCCAUCAAAUCUUGAAGCUGUGCCUUUAGCUCUCUCAGCUCUGCCGGCGCCAUCCGAUAAGGUACCUUCGAGAUUGGUGCAGUUUCAGGAACUACAUCAAUCACAAACUCAAUCUCCCUCUCCGGCGGCAACGACAUCAACUCAGGGGGGAAAUACAUCCGGAAACUCGCAGACUACAGGGAUAUCCUCGAGUUCCGGCGCCGCCGUAGGUACCUCCACAACUGUCGUUAGGAAAGCGAUACACCCACUACUCAGCAUCUGUCGAGCCCUCGCUGAAGAUAUCCAUGUAGCAACCAACGUGCUCCUGCAGCCUCUAAAGUGAACUCCUCCCGGCCUGGCUUGCGGAACGUCAUCGUCCUCACUUCACAGUCGAUAGUAGCCUAGUACCGCGUCCGUCAAUCCAUACCGAGUACGACGUCGAAGUCCUGCAGCUGCCCUAACACCAACAGGUCUACGGCAAAAUCCAAGAAUCUAGCUACACCGGACAAGACCAACCACACUCCGCAACCUAUAACACAUAGUCGGGGAUCUGCACCUCUCGUGCCAAAAAUAAUGACCCUAACUCUAGACCAUGCAACAAUGCAAAUGCUCGGCUCACAAAAGAAUGGGAGGCAUCAGUAUCAACUAAAGUAUAAGUACAUAUGCCGAAAAUUAAAAUAAUACCUGCCACCAUACGGUCGGCUGCUGAAGAGUCCUCCUGGCGGUAGCUCGGUGGUGCUCCAAAAGCCUGCUGGUCAGCUGGCUGCGCUGAUGCCAUGGAUAGUGCUGGUAAUGUCGCUCUAGGACACGCUGACCUCACAUGUCCUAGCUGUCCACAAGUGUAGCAGCGGCCCUCUUUCUGCUCACACUGUCUGGGCCAGUGUGGUCCCCCACAAAUCACGCACCACAGUGUCCUCGGUGACGGUCCUUGCUGAAGCGAUCUCCUGGAAUGCUGACGCCCUGAUGAACCACGACCCUGAGAGCCAGAUCGAGAAAACCUCAGCAGACGUCUGCUACUUGUCUGUCCUCCAUCAUUUGGAAAAGGGCGCUUCCUAUCCUGGCUUUGCCCUGGUGCCGUAAUCCGCUCCUGGACGGUGUAACUCCGUGUCCCACCCAGAGUGCCUGCUGCACAGAUGCUCCUGUCUCAACGCCCGACCGCUGAGUGAUAAUCUCAUAAAUCCUCUACAACAAUACACUCUGCUGCUUGAUCACCUCUGUCAGGGCAGCCAAUUGCUCUCUCAAAUCAGGGGGUGCACUCGCCUCCGGUCGUGCACUCGGCUCUGCUUGGUUAGGCAUCUCUAGUGUUGCGACUCGAUCCCUGGUCGACGGUCAACCUCGGCAGCGAUCUGAAAGAAAAAGAACGGGGUCAGAUACCACUCAAACACUCUCGACCCAAUCAACGAAAGUCUGGAAAGCAGCCCAUAUUUUCCUCUAAAAUUAUGUUGUCUGUAGCCAACAUAAUUUCUCAGGCCAAAACAGGUACUCUUUCAAUCACUCACUCCACUCUCGGAGGAGUUAAAACAACUAAUCAUUGACUUUCGCAAUUAAAUUACGCCUCUCGCGUCUUACUUUCCUAAGGUUUGCCAAACUUAGGUUUUCUAGGUCCCAACGACCUAAUGCUAAUCUCUAAUACCAACUUAAUCUGUCACGCCCCGGAUGUCUCGUUUUCCGGGAACGCCGACAAAUCCGCCGUAUACAAAAAUUUUUUUUCUGUAUACGAAGCGACAGCUGUACCUGUAAAUAUACAAUACUACAAACAGUAGUAUAGAGCUGCUCAAGGAAACAGAACCAAAACAAACUGAGUUUCAUAUACAUAGCUCAAAAACCAAAAUGCUGAGUUACUCGCACUAGCGAGUUAAGUAUACUAUGUACAUAAACUUAAAAUAAAACAACUACCUGCAGUAGGGUGCCUCUAGCUCUGUUCGUCGGGUAGGGCUCUAACUCGCGACGCCCUUGCCUCGAUCCUGAUCUGCGGAAGGCGCAGCAGCCGAAACCUGUGGCUCUGCAAAACAGGGGUAACAACUGGGCGUGAGAACUACUGUAAAAACAAGUAGUCCUCAGUGGGUGCCGCCCAAAACAAUAUCGGUCCACCCACUAAGUCUACAGUAGGGAGCAAAGGUAAUAGGAAAAGCUGGAAAGAAAUCUACAGCUACAUAUCGCUACACUAGCAUGAUCUACACUAACCAACUGUAGUAAAAGUCACAACUGCCCCAAUCUCACUAGGGACUGUGAACACACCCGUCCCGCCUGUCGGAUCGAAUCCGUAACCUACUCCAAGAGUAGCUGGUGGAGAAAACUCUCUAGGGACUGUGAAUACACCCAUCCCGUCUAAUUAGGCGACACCGUAGCUCAAGAGUAACCGGCGGAGAAAACUCUCUAAAGACUGUGAAUACACCCGUCUCGUCUACUAGACUACACUGUAUCUCAAGAGUAACCGGCGGAGAAAACUCUCUAAAGACUGUGAAUACACCCGUCUCGCCUAAUUAGACUACAUCGUAUCUCGAGAGUAGUCGGUUCCAGAAAGGGUCCAACCGGACGGCUAAGACUCCACUCACGCCACAACCUUACUAAAGGUAGGGAAAAGAGUCACUUACUACCUCACCCGGGCUGCCCAAAACGGACCCACCCUGCCUGUAUCUAGCCGCGCCGUACACGACCGCGAGGGUAGCCGGCUCAAGAACUGUCCAACAUAAAUUGCGACACUCAUCGCACUGAAACCUCAUUCCGGAAUGGCAUUCGUGCGUGCGACCCAACGAGUUUACAAGUAUCUCUGUCAAGUUCAUACUGCUCUCACAAGCUAAGGUCAAGUAACCGACUCUAACUGGUCUAACAACCAACAUGCCACGUGCCCUCGACACAAUCCGACGCCAAAACGGCGAUAUGGGUCCACCGUCAACCCCGACGGCACCCAACAGUCCGGAACAGCCUGAACGCUACUGAAAAAAAAUCACUCGGUAUCCUAGCACGAGCGUAAAUGCAUUCUAAACUAUCUGGGGUAUCCGUCACCCCAAUCCUGUGACGAUAUAAAAAUACAACGGCUCCUAGAGCUAAAUCAGAUAGUUUAGGCAUAUGUCGAUCAUUAUCGCGUUUUCUCCUAAGUCAUUUCCAAGUCCCACAUGUAUAAACUAUUUAAUUUACUAUUUCAUGCUCCAAAUUCAGAUUUGCAGUUUACCUAAUAAUCCAUGAAUUCGAGCUAGCAUAACUAUACAAAAAUCGGACAUUUACACAUGUUGACUACUACGCACUUAGGAGUAAAACCGAUGUAAACCCACCUCAAAUGCUAAUCCCUGGCAACGAAGAAGUCACCUAAAUUCAGUCGAGCCCACUCUCAACCAGCAAUCGUAACUCUCCAAUAAUCUGAACCACAAAAGCAUUAAA